This 617-nucleotide ribosomal RNA is filed under the name Leuconostoc citreum. RNAcentral's name for it is "bacterial SSU rRNA". It matches the Rfam family "Bacterial small subunit ribosomal RNA", at positions 77 to 680 of the family's 1533-position model. The record is from RNAcentral. Lineage: Bacteria; Bacillati; Bacillota; Bacilli; Lactobacillales; Lactobacillaceae.
UGCUUGCACCUUUCAAGCGAGUGGCGAACGGGUGAGUAACACGUGGAUAACCUGCCUCAAGGCUGGGGAUAACAUUUGGAAACAGAUGCUAAUACCGAAUAAAACUUAGUAUCGCAUGAUAUCAAGUUAAAAGGCGCUACGGCGUCACCUAGAGAUGGAUCCGCGGUGCAUUAGUUAGUUGGUGGGGUAAAGGCUUACCAAGACGAUGAUGCAUAGCCGAGUUGAGAGACUGAUCGGCCACAUUGGGACUGAGACACGGCCCAAACUCCUACGGGAGGCUGCAGUAGGGAAUCUUCCACAAUGGGCGCAAGCCUGAUGGAGCAACGCCGCGUGUGUGAUGAAGGCUUUCGGGUCGUAAAGCACUGUUGUAUGGGAAGAAAUGCUAAAAUAGGGAAUGAUUUUAGUUUGACGGUACCAUACCAGAAAGGGACGGCUAAAUACGUGCCAGCAGCCGCGGUAAUACGUAUGUCCCGAGCGUUAUCCGGAUUUAUUGGGCGUAAAGCGAGCGCAGACGGUUGAUUAAGUCUGAUGUGAAAGCCCGGAGCUCAACUCCGGAAUGGCAUUGGAAACUGGUUAACUUGAGUGUUGUAGAGGUAAGUGGAACUCCUGGUGAAAGC